UUAGCAACUGAGCUGAACAGUCACAUGGAGCAUAAGCUCCUGCCAUUUCAGGCCCAAAUCUACUCAUUUGGCACAACCAAAAACAUAAUUUUCUCCACUUCUUGGUGCUGUUGGCGACAGGACAGCAAGAUGGGUCACAAGACAAAGAAACCAAGACCAGACAAACUGCGACAGGGACCAAACAUUGCCGUGCUCCUGCGGCAGACACAUGGGGCAACUGGGCCCAAGAUGGCCGCCUACCCAGAGACCUACUCUGAGCUAUCGGAUGAUUUCGCCUCAGGGGAGGAGGCAGCAGACUUACCCCGGUGCAGAUACCAGCACCGGUCGCCCAGAAAGCUGAUGCUUCGCCGGUGACAACAGCGAUUAUGAAGUCGCUCCUUGCAGACCUCCAGAAAACCAUCCAGGCAGACGUUGCCUCGCUCCGAGCUGACAUCCACAGACUUACAGGACGAAUCAGAGCCUUGGAGUCUGCUUCAAGCAUCUUCACUGGUCAAAUAACCUCACUGCAGCAAGCAGUCCAGGGACUUCAACAACAGAAUGAGGCAUAUGAGCGCCGAUUUGCAGCACUUGAUGACGCGCCGUGACAACAAUCUGAAAAUCAGGGGCAUCCCAGAGGACACCCCAACGGCCAACCUCACUGGGGGCACACUUGCCUGCCAGAGAUCGAUCAGGCCAUUCACUACACUCCUGCGACAACAUGGAAUACAAUACAAAUGGCACCUGACCCAUACACUACUGAUCCUGCACGGAGAAACCAAGCACACUGUGUGUGACCUCCAAGAAGCAGCAGCAUUAUUACCCACCCUGGGACUACCGGAGGACUCUCUUCUCCCCACUGCGAACAGAGGAGCCGCCAAACCGACUCAUCAAUGGAACCCAGAUAGGGUGGUCCCCUUCGUCCCACGUGGAUCCAAGCGAGAUCUGACUGUGGCAAUAAAUACCUGAAGCAUGCAGCUACAUAGCAACCAGAGACCCUCUGUUCAUAAAAUUGAUAUGUAGAUUUGGUUUUUAGUUUAUCACAUAAUGCUAAUGUGCCUUUUGUACCCCUCUGAAUGAAUGGUCCAUCAACCACAUUACUUCUCCCCCCCCCGAACCCAGCUUACUUUGGCCCCACUUUCCAUACUGCUAAAGCCAGGUGUAAUACUUAAUAGCAUGGAGUGCAUCCCUCCUCUAAGGGAGUGACAACUCGAAUUUCACCUAUGCGGUAGUACAGCUCAGGAUGUACCACAUACGUUAAUUGUAUCUAUACAUAGGCUUACCCACAUCCACACAAGUGUUCACUUUAUGACUUUCCUUUUCGUUCUAUUGUUUAAGCUUCUUUUGCUUAAUACAUUAUAUGUGUCUUAGUUAUAUGCUUGCUCUCACUAUAGGCACUAGACAGCCUUUGUAAUUGUUAUGGCAAACUAAUGAUUAAUCUGCUUCAUUUUAUGCCUAGACAUUACUAUUUUGCCUGUUAGAAUGAUAUGGCAGUACCUACACUUGAAAACCUAAGCAUCUAUACUUUAUCCUUUUAACACAUAAGGGCAUUUCACACGAUGUCAGGAUAAACACUCUGAGCGGACUCCUGAUAUAUCACUCAUUCUGCUUUCUACAGCAUAGCAUAUGACAAACCUGUUUAAAAUUAUG
Non-coding RNA from Pelobates cultripes (western spadefoot toad), 1626 nucleotides. The record is from the annotation of a GenBank genome assembly. NCBI's taxonomy places the organism in Eukaryota, Metazoa, Chordata, Amphibia, Anura, Pelobatidae.